GGGGUCAUAGCUCAGUGGUAGGGCAUGUGACUGCAGAUCAAGAGGUCACCGGUUCGAACCCGGUUGAGCCCU
This 72-nucleotide transfer RNA is filed under the name Gossypium arboreum. It matches the Rfam family "tRNA". From Rfam's summary of the family: Transfer RNA (tRNA) molecules are approximately 80 nucleotides in length. Their secondary structure includes four short double-helical elements and three loops (D, anti-codon, and T loops). The record is from Rfam by way of RNAcentral. Lineage: Eukaryota; Viridiplantae; Streptophyta; Magnoliopsida; Malvales; Malvaceae.